This 281-nucleotide ribosomal RNA is filed under the name uncultured bacterium. RNAcentral describes it as "partial 16S ribosomal RNA". It matches the Rfam family "Bacterial small subunit ribosomal RNA", at positions 505 to 784 of the family's 1533-position model. The record is from RNAcentral.
GUGCCAGCAGCCGCGGUAAUACGUAGGGGGCGAGCGUUGUCCGGAUUUAUUGGGCGUAAAGAGCUCGUAGGCGGUUCAACAAGUCGGUCGUGAAAGUUCAGGGCUCAACCCUGAAAUGUCGAUCGAUACUGUUGUGACUAGGAUACGGUAGAGGUGAGUGGAAUUCCGAGUGUAGCGGUGAAAUGCGUAGAUAUUCGGAGGAACACCAAUUGCGAAGGCAGCUCACUGGGCCGCUAUCGACGCUGAGGUGCGAAAGCGUGGGGAGCAAACAGGAUUAGAUA